GCAGUCGAACGGUAACAUAAAGAAGCUUGCUUCUUUGAUGACGAGUGGCGGACGGGUGAGUAAUGCUUGGGAAUCUAGCUUAUGGAGGGGGAUAACUACGGGAAACUGUAGCUAAUACCGCGUAAUACCGAAAGAUUAAAGUGUGGGACCUUCGGGCCACAUGCCAUAGGAUGAGCCCAAGUGGGAUUAGGUAGUUGGUGAGGUAAAGGCUCACCAAGCCGACGAUCUCUAGCUGGUCUGAGAGGAUGACCAGCCACACUGGGACUAAGACACGGCCCGGACUCCUACGGGAGGCAGCAGUGGGGAAUAUUGCGCAAUGGGGGCAACCCUGACGCAGCCAUGCCGCGUGAAUGAAGAAGGCCUUCGGGUUGUAAAGUUCUUUCGGUAGCGAGGAAGGCAUUUAGUUUAAUAGACUAGGUGAUUGACGUUAACUACAGAAGAAGCACCGGCUAACUCCGUGCCAGCAGCCGCGGUAAUACGGAGGGUGCGAGCGUUAAUCGGAAUAACUGGGCGUAAAGGGCACGCAGGCGGUGACUUAAGUGAGGUGUGAAAGCCCCGGGCUUAACCUGGGAAUUGCAUUUCGUACUGGGUCGCUAGAGUACUUUAGGGAGGGGUAGAAUUCCACGUGUAGCGGUGAAGUGCGUAGAGAUGUGGAGGAAUACCGAAGGCGAAGGCAGCCCCUUGGGAAUGUACUGACGCUCAUGUGCGAAAGCGUGGGGAGCAAACAGGAUUAGAUACCCUGGUAGUCCACGCUGUAAACGAUGU
Molecule: ribosomal RNA, 765 nt
Filed under: uncultured bacterium
Lineage: Bacteria
Description: bacterial SSU rRNA
Rfam family: Bacterial small subunit ribosomal RNA
Source: RNAcentral